RNAcentral lists this long non-coding RNA (341 nucleotides) under Mytilus galloprovincialis (Mediterranean mussel). Lineage: Eukaryota; Metazoa; Mollusca; Bivalvia; Mytilida; Mytilidae. The record is from RNAcentral.
UUUGUUUAUCUUAUCUAUCAUUUUGCUGCAAGUUCCAGAUUUGUUCUCCAUUACUAAUUCGAUGAACUCUUUCAAUAGUGGUAAACAUUUAUAUAACCUUUUAAAAUUGUAAUGACUUUUACAAAUCGAUAAAGGCAGAAUUUCUUUGUUUAAUUAUUUCAGUAUGUUGCUGCUUGUAUUCUGUGUGUCGUAGUGCACUCCAGCCCACAAGGUAAACUUUUUCAAUUAAAAUUUGUAUUGUAAUGUAAUGAAUAAAAUGUCACAAACUAUUAGACUAUAUAAUAUUCCAAAUCGAUCUGGUGACACUAAAAAUAUAAAAAGUGUGUAUCAACAAUUUGUUC